This 1108-nucleotide long non-coding RNA is filed under the name Fukomys damarensis (Damara mole-rat). RNAcentral describes it as "lncRNA (ENSFDAG00000024573.1)". The record is from RNAcentral. Lineage: Eukaryota; Metazoa; Chordata; Mammalia; Rodentia; Bathyergidae.
AGUGGGGAGAAAUAUGGAGAGUCCUACAGAGGGCAACACAGGUGCCCAGAGCAGAAGUAAGCCAGAAGAUGAGGUUGUAAGAUCAAGUUAGAACUAGACUAACCUGAAGGUUUUAAGGGUCAGGCAAAAAAGCACUUGUGUGAAAUGUGUCAACAUAUUACAAUAGGGUUGUGUUUUUGUUUGCUUGCUUAGUGUGGACAGUAGUGAUUUUAUUUCUCUUCUUUUUAUUUGUCCUUAUUUUCUAUAAAAAUCUUAUCUUGCUCUUGUAACCAAAAUGAAAGUUUUACAUUAAAAAAUGCAGCGAAUAUUUUUAAGUGGGAGCAGGUAGUCAUCAAAGUGAUGUGUUAGAUUGUAAGUCUACAGUGACCCACUAUGGGUUUUUUUUUUUUUGCUUUUUUUUUUCUCUCUCUUUUUUUUGUUACCAGGGAUCGAACGCCGGUCUUGCAUUUGUGAGGCAGGUGGCAGAACCACUGAGCUAAAUCUCCAGCCCAACCAUCUGUUUUUGAAGCAGUGCUAUCCAUUCUGCACAUUCUGAGAAUUCCCAUUCCUCUGGAGCACGUGGAGAGAGGACUGGGGCACCCUACCGAAGAAAGCAGUAGGAGGGCAGGAGGUAGCUUCUAAAGAGUCUCUGGCUUCAGGAUUCUGAUUCAAGAUGAGACACCAUGCCAACCACCAGUUCUUACAUCUUCUCUCUCACACAUGUUCCAAUUGAGGUAGUUUACUAAAUAAACUCUCUUUGUGCUUUCUGGCAUUCCUGAAGCUGAUGUAAUGUAACCGAAGGCAAACAAUUUUAGCAAUGCAAUUCAUGCGUUGCCAUCUAAAUACCAUGUAAUCAUAAAACUAAAAUGUUUACCAAAUAAUCAAAGACUGAGACAAGGAGACCAACCAAAAGGCAUUUUGUGAGACAAAGUACUGAAUUAUACUUCCAAUAAAAGAACUGGAUUACUGACAUUUAGAAAUGGGAGGAAAGGAGCUAAAGGUGUAGGGAAGGUGUGAUACGUAGGGGAAGAACAAAAAGGGAAAAGAAAAAAAUGUGAGAGAAUGAAAAGAUGAAAGAGUUAUCCUGAAGUAGUUUCUCAGAAAAACCUAAGUGUGACUUAGGUUCUAG